Molecule: unclassified non-coding RNA, 432 nt
Filed under: soil metagenome
Description: partial contains 5.8S ribosomal RNA, internal transcribed spacer 2, and large subunit ribosomal RNA
Rfam family: 5.8S ribosomal RNA (bases 1-120)
Source: RNAcentral
GAUGAAGAACGUAGCGAAAUGCGAUACGUAAUGUGAAUUGCAGAAUUCAGUGAAUCAUCGAAUCUUUGAACGCAUAUUGCGCUCUUUGGUAUUCCGGAGAGCAUGCUUGUUUGAGUAUCAGUAAACACCUCAACUUCCAUAUCUUUUUUGAAAUGGGAGUUGGACUUGAGUGAUCCCAACGCUUUUCCUCACCGAAAAGUGGCGGGUUACUUGAAAUGCAGGUGCAGCUGGACUUUUCUCUGAGCUAUAAGCAUAUCUAUUUAGUCUGCCUAAAAAACAGAUUAUUACCUUUGCUGCAGCUAACAUAAAGGAGAUUAGUUCUUGUGCUGACUGAUGCAGGAUUCACAAAGACGGCUUCGGCCGACUUUGUAAACUCGAUCUCAAAUCAAGUAAGACUACCCGCUGAACUUAAGCAUAUCAAUAAGCGGAGGA